GGGUCACGCUGACAACAAUCAAAAGCGACGUACCACCAAGGUAGAACGGCACGCCUGUCUGCGAGAUGAGUAUCUCGGGCAGGAUGCAGACGAAGACCAGG
RNAcentral lists this small RNA (101 nucleotides) under Sinorhizobium meliloti 2011. RNAcentral's name for it is "putative ncRNA". The record is from RNAcentral. Lineage: Bacteria; Pseudomonadati; Pseudomonadota; Alphaproteobacteria; Hyphomicrobiales; Rhizobiaceae.